Molecule: RNA transcript, 4467 nt
Organism: Papaver somniferum (opium poppy)
Lineage: Eukaryota; Viridiplantae; Streptophyta; Magnoliopsida; Ranunculales; Papaveraceae
Exons: 7
Source: RefSeq, a predicted model, not a curated record
AGCUAGGGUCUAAUGAUAUCGAAGAUUUCAGUGUUUAAACACGAUAGACUCAAGUUAGCACAUGAACAGAUUAUAUCCAAAUGACACGGUGUUUAUCAUGGUUGUUUUGACUUGGAAGAAUACAACCGCAACAACACCAAUGCUCAUGUUUACACAUUUGCUUAUCCAGGACAAGAAUCAUUUGUAAUUUGUAAAGGAAUCUUAAUUUCAACCAAGAUUCAAAAACAAAAUGAAAAAAGAAACUUCUGUGACACAAAAUUGAACGCAACGUCAUAUCGAUGUAUCCAACGGGGAGGUUAUUUUACCAAAUUGCCCUGUUAAAAGACUUUUAAUUCUGUUUUCUAUGGCUUUCAUCAGAGAUUCAGAGAAUAUCAAGCCCUAAUUACGAAUUGUGGACACAGGUGAGGCAAUUUUAAGAUCGUGACUAUGUUACUGAUUGGAGCUUGUCAUGUUCUUCUCAUACCUAAAUUUGGAAUGAUAAUCAAAGCAAAAGAUCAAAUCAUCAUCAUCUGGGGAUUAUUGUACAGAAGGAACGGUGUGGAAAGAUGAAUAAGCCAUACAUCUCUCUAUUUGGGCACCUGCAAAAAUCGAUGUAAUGGUUACUCCCUGUCGUUAAUGAAACGAUUAGUCUGGCAUGGGGUGUGAAGGAUGACUUGAGAAAGCUUAUGACAACCUUGGAAUCUAUUCAGGCUUUGAUCUCUGAUCCUGAGGAAAAGCAAGCAAAAGAUGCUACUGUGCGACUUUGGUUGAAAAGGCUUAAAGGUGUUGUUUAUGAUGCCGAUGAUCUUAUGGAUGAAUUCAUUUAUGAAACCAUGCGUCGCCGUGAGAUGGGAAGCCAGCUCAAGCACAAGGGAGAUAGCGAAAAAAUGUGAUGGUUUACCACUUGCGGCGAACUCUCUUGGAAGUUUAGUGUACUCUAAAAGAGACGAAAGCUACUGGUUGUUAAUCAGAAACGAUAAUAAUUUAUGGGAUACACCAGGCAAUAAAAGAGUCAUCAAUCUUAAAGCUGAGCUAUGAUUCGCCUUUGCAACAAUGUUUCUCAUAUUGUUGUGUAUUUCCGAAGGACUCGGAAAUAAAAUCAGAGACUUUGAUUAGGUUAUGAAUUGCAGAAGGAUUCCUUCAGCCAUCCAAUGAGGUAUAUAAUGGAUCGGUUGAAGAUAUCGGAAAUGAUUAUUUUGAGCUUUUGUUUUGGAACUCGUUGCAUGACUUUGUGCAUGAUCUUGCAACCAGUGUAGUAGAUAGUCAUGAAUUUGCAGUUAUGCAGGCAAGAGAUGGGAAUAAAGAUGUUUCAAGAAUUCGUUAUUUACGAUUAGUGUGUGAAUAAGGAUCAUCAGCGACAACUCCCAAGACACUGUGAGAAGCAAAGAAUUAUGAGAACGGUUGUUGCCAUUUAUUUUCUCUCGGUGAGUGGGAGAUAAACUUAUCUUUUUCGGUUCCUAAGUUUAAACAUCUGAGGUACCUAGACUCUCAGGUUGUAAAAUCGAUUUAUUACAUGAUGUUAUAUUAAAUCAUUCUUACAACUUGCAGACAUUGGUAUUGCGUAAGUGCAUAAAUGUAUCCGUGCUUCUUGGUGGAAUUGGGUCAUGAAAAAAAUUUGAGGCAUCUCGAUAUCUCCGACUCGGAUAUUAAACUUUUACCCGAUUCCUUCAUUAAUCUCACUAAUUUGCAGACUUUGAAUCCUCACGGGUACCGUAAGUUCGAAGGCUUACCCGAAAGUGUUGGGUUGUUAAGUCAUCUAAGUUUCCUUGAUGUUUCAAUACAUCAAUCAAAAACUUACCUGAUUCAGUUAGUUGCAUCAACAAUCUAAAGAUGUUGCAAUUCAAGGGGUGUAUGUACUUGAAUGCAUUACCUGUAUAACCUGGAGCAUUGACACAAUUAAGAUGUCUUGAUCUGGGUGGCACUAGCAUUAAAGUAUUGCCUGAAUCAUGCAUUAGCAACCUCUGCAAUCUAGAGAUGUGAAUUCCGGAUGCUGUGAGCUUCCAAAAGAUAUUAAGAGUUGGCCGAAAUUAAGACAGCUUACACAUUCUAGUCAAAUGCUCAUAGAAAGUCUAACUUGCCUUGAAACAUUAAGAACAUACAUGGUGAGGAAAGAAGCAGAUACCUGUCGAAGUGGGAUUGAGGAGUUAGCAUCACUAAACUCCCUCUGGGUGUUAUGUAUAGUAAAUCUAGAGAAUGUUAGAGGAGGGAUACAAGAUGCAAGAAGAACAAAGUUAAAUAUGAGAGAUUUAUGGUUAAUGUGGAGGUCCCAUGAAAAACACUCGGACGAAGAACGCUCGGACGAUGAAAUGCUGUCGGAGGGUCUCCAGCCUCAUCCUAAUUCGAUAAUUGUUGGGGUUAAAGCCUCCAAAGUGGAUGGAGGGUUCAUUGUGUAAUUGCCUUCCUCCAGAAUUUGGCUUCUUUAUUGUUAUCAAAUGUCAAGAGAUAUGGGUAUCUCCCAGCUUUGGGUAUGGUCCGAUGUCUUAGAGUGCUUGAUAUUUGGAAAAUAGACUCAGUCAUGUGUUUGGGUGAAGAAUUUUAUCACCACAAACAAGAGGAAGAAGAAAGCUGUAGUACCAAAAAUUUAUCCUUAUUCCCUUUGUUAUCUAUGUUGAGUAUUGUAGAUUGAGUAAUUUAGAAGAAUGGGUUGCUCCCCCAACUCCUACUCCUUCCUCGCCAUAUUAUAUUGAUAAUGCUUUCACUUCCAUUGAGCAUUUGAAUAUCUCGAACUGCUCCAGAUUGAGAAGCAUACCAAUAAAUUCAUUUUCUUCUAUGAAGAAUUUGAUAUUAAAGCCGGUGUCGCUGUAGCACAGUGCUAAAGUUACUUGGUGAUGAUAUCAGUGACCUGAGUUCGAAACUCGCCAGCACCAAGUUCUUUACCGAUCAACAAAAAAAAAUAGAAUUUGAUAUUAAAGGGUACCAAUGACAGGAUUGUAAUGUUAUUCUUGGCUCCAAGUAGAGGAGAACAACGAGGCUCACUCGCAUCCAUUGCAAUAUCAGAAUCUCCAUAGCUGAUACAUUUCCCGCUGGGUGUGCUUCUCCAAAACAAUACUCCAAAUCUGCAUUCUCUACAUUUUUUUUUUGAUUGGUAAAGAAUCAGUGCUGGGGAGUUUCGAACUCAGGUCACUGGUAUUAUCACCCAAUGACUUUACCACUGUACUACAGUGACACCGGCCACUCUCUACAUAUUGAUGGCUGCUCUGAUUUUCAAGGAUUUUGCAGUGAUGAUCUCGACAACAACAACAACAGUUCUCUUCGCUCAGUGAAUUUGAUGAGAUGUCCUGUUUUAACGUCUCUGCCUGAUUUGUAGUUAUGGACUUCUCUUCGAGACUUAACCAUAUGGAAGUGUGACAAAUUGAAGGAGUCUAUAUCCUGUGAUCUUAAGAAACCCCUCAUCUUUCUUGAAUCACUCAAAGUGGAUUUUAUUCAAAGAGAAGGGCAGCAAGGACAUCCAUCUUAUUCAUCGGACUUGAUUAAUUUGAUGUCGAAGGAGAAGUAGAUCUGUUUGCUGCAAUUCAUCCCUUCUAACUCCAACAGGUUUUCCUUGAGAUCUCAACGAAGAUACAAUUGAAGCAUCGAGCUUCAAAUGGUAAUGGAGUCACAAAUAUUAUGGAAUCUGCUGUUUGUGUCACCAAUGUGGGGUCUGUUACUAUGGUGAAUUUAAGAGAGCAACUAAGCAAUGUAAGAGAAUAGGAUUGUACUGAUGGUAUAACCAGUGAAAUGAAAUUGCAAGUGUAGCAUUGCCACUUACACGUCAGGAUUCUGCCUCACUGACUUUAUUAGCGAGAACUUUCUACCAGAAGUCUGCCUCGCUGCCCCACCAUUGCAGCUUUGCUGGACAAGACAGUAUCUUCAUUUAUUCUUGUACGUCGGAAUCUUAUCUGGUGUAGUUGGGAGAGGUUACGAUAGUUGGAUAUUCAGGUGACCUGGCUGAUAGGGGUGGUCUGAAACGGAGAAAAAGAGCACAAAUUUGCUGUGUGUAGAACAUAUUCCUUAGCAGGUAUAACAUUGGCUUGGACUUUUCAUUUUUGUUUUCGUGCCUUGCAUGUACAGAUCCCUGUUUCUAUGGGAGCGACAUUCUUCUAUCAGGCAGUUGGAUUGCACAGAGGAGGGAAGGUGAUUGCAUUCGUAGGAGCGGAUAGGGGCACAAAUUGGAGGGUCUACCAGGUUGGAGUUCGUCCAGGGGUAAUAAAGUACAUAUGACUGAACUUAGACAACUAGCCAGCUGUAGACCAGUGCCAUAUUUCUAGGUGCAGCUGAAAUUGUAAACGUGACCAGAAAAAUCAAGCACAGGUAGUACUUGGGUUUUGAGAAAUUGUUGUCCCUGGAAAGUCCCUACUUAAAACCCCAGUCUUUUGUAACAAAUAUACAUAAAUUUUGUUUUUUUGUACAAUACUGCUAGACCAUAUAAUUCAUUCCCAACAACAGCAAUUCGAAAAUCGAAAAUUCAACCAUAAUUCUGAAAUAAAUUUAUGUGUUUCUUUCUAGACA